Molecule: small nuclear RNA, 107 nt
Organism: Aotus nancymaae (Ma's night monkey)
Lineage: Eukaryota; Metazoa; Chordata; Mammalia; Primates; Aotidae
Source: Ensembl
GUGCUUGCUUUGGCAGCACGUAUACUAGAAUUGGAAUGAUACAGAGAAGAUUAGCAUGGCCCUGCGGGGAGGGUGACAUGCAAAUUCAUGAAAGAUUUCAUAUAAAA